CCACAUGCAUGUUUUAGUGGUACAAAGUGACAAUCCAAUACCAAAUUACAAGAAGAAGUGAAAAUACAAGCUAUAAGUUAUAGCUCCUAAACACAUAUUCAGUGAUGGACACGCAACUUCAUAAUUUGAAGACGACUGAAUAAGAAGACUAAAUCGAUCUUAGGUCAUUUGGAUUUAUAGUUAAAGGAUGUUCCAUAUUGUUCUGUGUGCAUUGUGCUGUGAAUGUGUGGGUGCCGUACCAGUCCUUUCCCUGGACCAUGUAAGAGAAAACACCAAACAUAGGCAGUAUAAAAAGCUUGGGAAGCAUAUGGAAUCUCUCCAACGGAGACCAUGGGCAAG
Long non-coding RNA from Sinocyclocheilus anshuiensis, 339 nucleotides. RefSeq lists it as uncharacterized. Lineage: Eukaryota; Metazoa; Chordata; Actinopteri; Cypriniformes; Cyprinidae. The transcript is spliced from 3 exons. The record is from RefSeq and is a predicted model, not a curated record.